Molecule: Y RNA, 111 nt
Filed under: Prolemur simus (greater bamboo lemur)
Lineage: Eukaryota; Metazoa; Chordata; Mammalia; Primates; Lemuridae
Description: Y RNA (ENSPSMG00000007995.1)
Rfam family: Y RNA
About the family: Y RNAs are components of the Ro ribonucleoprotein particle (Ro RNP), in association with Ro60 and La proteins. The Y RNAs and Ro60 and La proteins are well conserved, but the function of the Ro RNP is not known.
Source: Rfam by way of RNAcentral
GGCUACUCAGAAGUAGUGAGUUAUAUGAAUUGAUUGUUUGCAGUCAGGUACAGUUUGAACUCCUUGUUCUACUGUUUCCUGCUUCUCACUACUGCACUUGACUAGUCUUAA